UACGUAGGUGGCAAGCGUUAUCCGGAAUUACUGGGUGUAAAGGGAGCGUAGACGGUGAUGUAAGUCUGGAGUGAAAGGCGGGGGCCCAACCCCCGGACUGCUCUGGAAACUAUAUGACUGGAGUGCAGGAGAGGUGAGCGGAAUUCCUAGUGUAGCGGUGAAAUGCGUAGAUAUUAGGAGGAACACCAGUGGCGAAGGCGGCUCACUGGACUGUAACUGACACUGAGGCUCGAAAGCGUGGGGAGCAAAUAGG
RNAcentral lists this ribosomal RNA (253 nucleotides) under uncultured bacterium. RNAcentral's name for it is "partial 16S ribosomal RNA". It matches the Rfam family "Bacterial small subunit ribosomal RNA", at positions 524 to 776 of the family's 1533-position model. The record is from RNAcentral.